GCAGACACAUUCCAGCCAAUCAGCAACAGACCCUCCCUCCCAGACCCUCCCACCUCCUGGACAGCUCACAAUGAAUGUAAAAUGGAUGCUGUCCAGGAGGUGGGAGGGACUGGAAGGGAGGGUCUGCUGCUGAUUGGCUGGAAUGUGUCUG
Molecule: non-coding RNA, 151 nt
Organism: Pelobates cultripes (western spadefoot toad)
Lineage: Eukaryota; Metazoa; Chordata; Amphibia; Anura; Pelobatidae
Source: the annotation of a GenBank genome assembly